Molecule: ribosomal RNA, 497 nt
Filed under: uncultured bacterium
Lineage: Bacteria
Description: partial 16S ribosomal RNA
Rfam family: Bacterial small subunit ribosomal RNA
Source: RNAcentral
GACGAACGCUGGCGGCGUGCCUAAUACAUGCAAGUAGAACGCUGAAGAGAGGAGCUUGCUCUUCUUGGAUGAGUUGCGAACGGGUGAGUAACGCGUAGGUAACCUGCCUUGUAGCGGGGGAUAACUAUUGGAAACGAUAGCUAAUACCGCAUAACAAUGGAUGACACAUGUCAUUUAUUUGAAAGGGGCAAUUGCUCCACUACAAGAUGGACCUGCGUUGUAUUAGCUAGUAGGUGAGGUAACGGCUCACCUAGGCGACGAUACAUAGCCGACCUGAGAGGGUGAUCGGCCACACUGGGACUGAGACACGGCCCAGACUCCUACGGGAGGCAGCAGUAGGGAAUCUUCGGCAAUGGGGGCAAGCCUGACCGAGCAACGCCGCGUGAGUGAAGAAGGGUUUCGGAUCGUAAAGCUCUGUUGUAAGUCAAGAACGAGUGUGAGAGUGGAAAGUUCACACUGUGACGGUAGCUAACCAGAAAGGGACGGCUAACUACGUG